Molecule: non-coding RNA, 104 nt
Organism: Canis lupus familiaris (dog)
Lineage: Eukaryota; Metazoa; Chordata; Mammalia; Carnivora; Canidae
Source: Rfam
GUGCACACUUUGGCAGCAUGUAUACUAAAAUUGGAAUGAUAAAAAGAUUAGUAAGGCCCCUGCACAAGGAUGACACCCAAAUUUGUGAAGUAUUCCAUAUUUUU